CCUACGGGUGGCUGCAGUGGGGAAUAUUGCACAAUGGGCGCAAGCCUGAUGCAGCCAUGCCGCGUGUGUGAAGAAGGCCUUCGGGUUGUAAAGCACUUUCAGCGGGGAGGAAGGCGUUAAGGUUAAUAACCUUGUCGAUUGACGUUACCCGCAGAAGAAGCACCGGCUAACUCCGUGCCAGCAGCCGCGGUAAUACGGAGGGUGCAAGCGUUAAUCGGAAUUACUGGGCGUAAAGCGCACGCAGGCGGUCUGUCAAGUCGGAUGUGAAAUCCCCGGGCUCAACCUGGGAACUGCAUUCGAAACUGGCAGGCUAGAGUCUUGUAGAGGGGGGUAGAAUUCCAGGUGUAGCGGUGAAAUGCGUAGGGAUCUGGAGGAAUACCGGUGGCGAAGGCGGCCCCCUGGACAAAGACUGACGCUCAGGUGCGAAAGUGUGGGGAGCAAACAGGAUUAGAUACCCGGGUAGUC
Molecule: ribosomal RNA, 465 nt
Filed under: uncultured Klebsiella sp.
Lineage: Bacteria; Pseudomonadati; Pseudomonadota; Gammaproteobacteria; Enterobacterales; Enterobacteriaceae
Description: bacterial SSU rRNA
Rfam family: Bacterial small subunit ribosomal RNA
Source: RNAcentral